GGUUACUUUCGAUUGACUUGGGCUUGAUUUUAUACUCCAACCCAUGUGAACAUACCUUACGUUGCCUCGGCAGGUCGCGCCUACCUAGUAGCGCCCUACGCUGUAGGGCCUACCCGGGAGACGCGGGUAAGCCUGCCGGCCCCCCACGAAACUCUGUCUGAUAUUGAAUUCUGAACCCAUAACUAAAUAAGUUAAAACUUUCAACAACGGAUCUCUUGGUUCUGGCAUCGAUGAAGAACGCAGCGAAAUGCGAUAAGUAAUGUGAAUUGCAGAAUUCAGUGAAUCAUCGAAUCUUUGAACGCACAUUGCGCCCAUUAGUAUUCUAGUGGGCAUGCCUGUUCCUGCGUCAUUUCAACCCUUAAGCCUCUGUUGCUUAGCGUUGGGAGCCUACAGCACCUGUAGCUCCUCAAAGUUAGUGGCGGAGUCGGUUCACACUUUAGACGUAGUAAUUCUUUCUCGCCUAUUAGUUAGAACCGGUCUCCCGCCGUAAAACCCCUUAUUUCUAAAGGUUCUGCUCGGAUCAGGUAGGAAUACCCGCUGAACUUAAGCAUAUCAAUAGGCGGGAGGAAAUUCAUUAAAGAGUUUAUAACUCCAAACCAUGUUGAACAUACUUUAGUUGCUCGCGGUCGCGCCUACCUAGUAGCGCCCUACCCUGUAGGGCUACCGGGAGACGCGGGUAAGCCUGCGGCGGCCACGAAACUCUGUCUGAUUAUUGAAUUUCUGAACAUAACUAAAUAGGUUUAAAACUUUUCAAGGAUCUCUUGGUUUCUGGCAUCAGAAAAACCACAAAUGCAUUAAGUAAUGUGAAUUGCGGAAAUCGUGAAUCAUCAAUCUUGAACGAUGACUGAUUAC
Molecule: ribosomal RNA, 852 nt
Filed under: fungal endophyte
Lineage: Eukaryota; Fungi
Description: eukaryotic LSU rRNA
Rfam family: 5.8S ribosomal RNA (bases 196-349)
Source: RNAcentral